CCUACGGGGGGCAGCAGUGAGGAAUAUUGGUCAAUGGACGAGAGUCUGAACCAGCCAAGUAGCGUGAAGGAUGACUGCCCUAUGGGUUGUAAACUUCUUUUAUAUGGGAAUAAAAUGUUCCACGUGUGGGAUUUUGUAUGUACCAUAUGAAUAAGGAUCGGCUAACUCCGUGCCAGCAGCCGAGGUAAUACGGAGGAUCCGAGCGUUAUCCGGAUUUAUUGGGUUUAAAGGGAGCGUAGGUGGAUUGUUAAGUCAGUUGUGAAAGUUUGCGGCUCAACCGUAAAAUUGCAGUUGAAACUGGCAGUCUUGAGUACAGUAGAGGUUGGCGGAAUUCGUGGUGUAGCGGUGAAAUGCUUAGAUAUCACGAAGAACUCCGAUUGCGAAGGCAGUUCACUGGACUGCAACUGACACUGAGGCUCGAAAGUGUGGGUAUCAAACAGGAUUAGAUACCCCAGUAGUC
RNAcentral lists this ribosomal RNA (460 nucleotides) under uncultured bacterium. RNAcentral describes it as "partial 16S ribosomal RNA". It matches the Rfam family "Bacterial small subunit ribosomal RNA", at positions 338 to 795 of the family's 1533-position model. The record is from RNAcentral.